Molecule: ribosomal RNA, 505 nt
Filed under: uncultured bacterium
Lineage: Bacteria
Description: partial 16S ribosomal RNA
Rfam family: Bacterial small subunit ribosomal RNA
Source: RNAcentral
ACUCAAAUGAAUUGACGGGGGCUCACACAAGCGGUGGAGCAUGUGGUUCAAUUCGAAGCAACGCGCAGAACCUUACCUGGGUUUGACAUGCUUGGAUUAUCUCCAUGAAAGUGGAGUAGGCCCUUCGGGGUACAACAAGUACAGGUGCUGCAUGGCUGUCGUCAGCUCGUGUCGUGAGAUGUCGGGUUAAGUCCCAUAACGAGCGAAACCUUUGCCCUUAGUUACCAGCGGGUUAUGCCGGGGACUCUAAGGGGACUGCCGGUGUCAAACCGGAGGAAGGUGGAGAUGACGUCAAGUCCUCAUGGCCUUUAUGCCCAGGGCUACACACGUGCUACAAUGGGGUGGACAAAGCGAACCUAGAGCGCAAGUUCAUGGAAAACGCAAAAACCACCCCCCAGUUCAGAUCGGAGGCUGCAACUCGCCUCCGUGAAGUUGGAAUCGCUAGUAAUCGCGGAUCAGCUACGCCGCGGUGAAUAUGUUCCUGAGCCUUGCACACACCGCCCGU